GUUUCGUUAGCAGAAAACCUUUUCAAGGCGUCUUUGGAAGUCACAUUGGAUAACUCCUGAUGCCUGCGCCAAGUGGAAUCUUCCUUUGGGGCAUUUUCUAGAAGGAUCCCUCCUUCCUUCUCUGCAAAAGGGAACCGUCCCCCCGAAAGGGCCUGGGCCUUUGGGAAAAGGGGUUUAGAAAGCCAGGCGCGGGGACCCUUCUUUGGGGGCGGUGGCCGCAUCCCAGGAUCCCUUCCUAGGGGAGGCCUGGGCCCAGAUGUGAGGCUGGGGGCCUCUCCCCAGGGCUCAGGGCCCCAGGAAUGCAGGGCCAAGGGGGCCCAUGAGCCUGCGGCCCCCCACCCCGAAGCCAGGAACCCCGGCAAAUGAGUCCAGCCGGACAGUCCCGCGCUCAGGGCGGCGGCCGGCGGCGGGGUCAGGCUGGGGUCUGCCCGGCGACCUCGCGCCUGGCCCGCGAGUUCAGGUGCCCCGGAGCCAGG
RNAcentral lists this long non-coding RNA (476 nucleotides) under Homo sapiens (human). RNAcentral describes it as "lncAB363.1". The record is from RNAcentral. Lineage: Eukaryota; Metazoa; Chordata; Mammalia; Primates; Hominidae.